This 74-nucleotide transfer RNA is filed under the name Streptomyces hygroscopicus subsp. jinggangensis TL01. Its description in RNAcentral is "tRNA-Met". The record is from RNAcentral. Lineage: Bacteria; Bacillati; Actinomycetota; Actinomycetes; Kitasatosporales; Streptomycetaceae.
GGCGGGACGGCUGCGGGACGCGCUGCGGGAGGAGCUCUCGGCGUGACGCCGGACACUCCGGCUCCUACUGAUUU